RNAcentral lists this ribosomal RNA (497 nucleotides) under uncultured bacterium. RNAcentral's name for it is "partial 16S ribosomal RNA". It matches the Rfam family "Bacterial small subunit ribosomal RNA", at positions 28 to 507 of the family's 1533-position model. The record is from RNAcentral.
GAUGAACGCUGGCGGCGUGCCUAAUACAUGCAAGUCGAGCGAACGGACGAGAAGCUUGCUUUUUUGAUGUUAGCGGCGGACGGGUGAGUAACACGUGGAUAACCUACCUAUAAGACUGGGAUAACUUCGGGAAACCGGAGCUAAUACCGGAUAAUAUUCUGAACCGCAUGGUUCAAAAGUGAAAGACGGUCUUGCUGUCACUUAUAGAUGGAUCCGCGCUGCAUUAGCUAGUUGGUAAGGUAACGGCUUACCAAGGCAACGAUGCAUAGCCGACCUGAGAGGGUGGUAGGCCACACUGGAACUGAGACAGGGUCCAGACUACUACGAGAGGCAGCAGUAGGGAAUGUUCGGCAAUGGGCGGAAGCCUGACAGAGCAACGCCGCGUGAGUGAUGAAGGUCUUCGGGUCGUAAUACUCUGUUAUUAGGGAAGAACAUAUGUGUAAGUAACUGUGCACAUCUUGACGGUACCUAAUUAAAAAGCCACGGCUAACUACGUG